This 253-nucleotide ribosomal RNA is filed under the name uncultured bacterium. RNAcentral describes it as "partial 16S ribosomal RNA". It matches the Rfam family "Bacterial small subunit ribosomal RNA", at positions 524 to 776 of the family's 1533-position model. The record is from RNAcentral.
UACAUGGGGUGCAAACGUUGCUCGGAAUUACUGGGCGUAAAGCGUGCGCAGGCGGCGCCGCAAGUCAGGCGUGAAAUCCCCGAGCUUAACUUGGGAAUGGCGCUUGAAACUACGGUGCUGGAGUGUGGCAGAGGGAGGUGGAAUUCCACGUGUAGCGGUGAAAUGCGUAGAGAUGUGGAGGAACACCGAUGGCGAAGGCAGCCUCCUGGGCCAACACUGACGCUCAUGCACGAAAGCGUGGGGAGCAAACAGG